GUCGCACUAACUAAGAUUUGUUAAGAACUUUAACUUAACAGUAAUCAAAAUUUGAAGGUUCUGCUUACUUAAACCAAGAAUCUCUAAAACUCAAAAAUUUUUGAGUAUUGCCAACUUAUCCGGGUUUACAGUGUAAUACUGUCAUUUCAACACUAACAUUGUGCUUUUCUCUUUGAGCCUCUCCACCUUUUCUCCAGCAGGUAAGCCCACAGGUGUCACAGCUUUCAGAAAUAACAGUUCAUUGACCCUCAUAAAAGUGGUCUACUAAAUUCUGUUUUCUGUCUUUAUAGCGGGUUGACAUCCACAUUCAAAAGGAAGCAGUUGAAUGUGAGUUGUGUGUGUCUAUCGGGGAUUUUCAGCAGAACAUCAGUUAGAUAGACGCUCAGAACAUGAAGGUAAGUGUCUCUCAAGUUGAUGGAGGUGAGUAAUGAAGCAUUGUCAGGGACACACCGCUGCCUGUCAGUCGUGAUUCGUUUAGGUGGCAAUCUUGCGGAUUCUUACCAUUUCUCCAAGAUAAAUCUGAAAGAAGUUAAACCCACUUACUGUAAAUUGCUCUCUAUUCCGACAUCUAUUACACAUGUUGGCAGUUUUCUCUAUUUCCUUUUCUGCCAGAGAAGGAAACUCCCCUCAGAAACCACUGGCUUGCAGUUGGCAUUUAUUGGCGUUACGCUGACAGAAAGUUUGCAAUAGACCAAACCAGCUUGCCGAUCCAUGGUGAGGGACGAGUUACUUGGAAACGGGAACUGUGGAUCAUCUCUAUAAACAAGAUGGAUGCGGCAUUUAUCGAGAUCCCCUGAGAGCUGUGGGUUUGAUGUCUUCUUCAGGAAGUGACAUUUCCAUGUAACAUCUAAUGUGGUCCGGGAAGAGCGAGUGGACACUGUGACGGAAUAGGUGAGGGAUCAUGGACUAUCGCCUCUCUAAUCUCUACCUGUGACUGUAGCCGUGCGCUCCCACGCGGGGCGGCCUGUGACCCGGGAGAACAGUGGGGCGACCCCGGGGUGAGGCGUAUUUGGGAGAGAAAUUAGGAGGGAGACCGUUGACAGAGUCCUUCUAGCUUAUGUUAAGUUUCUGUCACUCUCGAUGUUCAAGUGCCUCCACUUCAGGGUGUGAGAGCUUAGCAGCACCGCUGAAAACGAGCGAGCGUGUCAUCGCCGCCAUUUUGUCUCACUGACCUUCCCUCUAAUGGGCAUAUGAAAAAGGGUGGUAUAAAACCUUUGCAUUUACACUGUGUAUGAAAGAGCUGUAUUAUGAGAACUUCAGAACUUUAUCCAACUUGUACAACUUUCUGACGUGAGAUCGAUGAAUGCAUCAACACAUGAACGCCCAUGCUUACUCAAAAACUCAUCCUGCAAGACAAAUUGAUACUAUAACCCAGAACACUAGAAGAACUGACAACAAGUGUGAGAUGUGUCGCAGACUGUA
Triplophysa rosa is the source of this 1422-nucleotide long non-coding RNA. RefSeq lists it as uncharacterized. Lineage: Eukaryota; Metazoa; Chordata; Actinopteri; Cypriniformes; Nemacheilidae. The transcript has 4 exons. The record is from RefSeq and is a predicted model, not a curated record.